Molecule: long non-coding RNA, 750 nt
Filed under: Medicago truncatula (barrel medic)
Lineage: Eukaryota; Viridiplantae; Streptophyta; Magnoliopsida; Fabales; Fabaceae
Description: long non-coding RNA (MTRU_LNC002869)
Source: RNAcentral
CUUCACUUGAGAAACCAAACAUAAUGUUUUCUCAAAGAGAAAUGCCUUCACCAUCUACAAUUUUCUCAGCUUAUGCAUCCAUGACAGCUUCCAUCAUGCUGCUUCGUUCCAUGGCACAAGAACUCAUCCCUCAACCAAUUCGUGGCUACCUUUACAACACCUUCCGCUACCUCAUUAAACCACGUUCCCCUACACUCACACUCAUCAUAGAAGAAUCAACAGGCAUAACACGUAACCAAGUUUAUGAUGCAGCUGAGUCUUAUCUCUCAACUAAAGUCACCCCUGAAAAUGAAAGACUCAAAAUCAGCAAAGUCCCAAAAGAGAAAAAACUCACUAUUCGGUUAGAAAAAGGCGAAAAAUUAACCGAUAUUUACAACGGUUUUCCUCUCAAAUGGAGAUUCAUUUGUGCUGAAACUGAGAAAAACAGUGCAAAUGAUAUGCACAACAAUAAUAACAGUGUAUCUGUUAGAUCAGAGAAAAAAUAUUUUGAACUAAGUUUUCACAAAAAGUAUAAGGAAGUUGUUUUGGAUUCUUAUCUUCCUUUCAUUCUUGAUAAAGCUAAAGAAAUGAAAGAUGAAGAAAGAGUGUUGAAAAUGCAUACAUUAAACACUGCUUAUUGUUAUAGCGGUGUGAAAUGGGAUUCAAUAAAUCUUGAACAUCCUUCAACAUUUGAAACACUUGCUAUGGAGCCAGACAUGAAGAAUGUUAUUAUAGAAGAUUUGAACAUGUUUGUGAAGAGAAGAGAGUUUU